UAUAUUAAGUUUUAUAGUUAGUCUAUGAGUCAUGUCUGCAGAAGUACUGAGUAAGACUGCUCUUUUUUUUUUAACUGAGUCACAUGACUUCCGCCUUUUAGUUAGUUUCACUUUCUCUCAGCCGCCACCUUCUCUCCGUCAUUCUCCUUUUCCUUCGAGUUUUAUCCGUCUUUUCGCCGUAUUUUUACCCUAGAUUUUGUUCCAGACAUUGUGAGCCAGCUCUCGGUUUAUUUCCGUGUCGUUUUAAUUGAUUUCGGCGACGAUGGAGCCGGUUUUUACCAUCAACUCCUGGGCGUUGACGGCGAUUAUCUUGUUCGUGACAUUGUCUACAGGUCAAGCUAACGCAGUCGAGUACAAGAAAGUAGGAGAUGAAGUCGUCCUGAGUCCAGGCUCUGAGGCUUCACCCAUCAGCAGCAUCACAUGGAAACAUAAUUCAAACCUGGCUGCGGAGUGGUACGGAGGAGAGGUUGAAUUCUACCGGGACUUCAAAGGUCGCUGUAAACUGAACACCGCAACUGGAGAGCUGAUCAUCCCAAACCUGACGCUAAAGGACAGCGGCUCCUACAAAGUAGAGAUCAACAACAGAGUCCUGAAACCAACUGAAAUCAAAGUUAUCUCUGGUGUCUCUAAACCAACUGUGUCAGAAAACUGUGAUGCUGAAAAGACCCACUGUGUUCUGACCUGUGAAGGCAUCACUACAGACUCUGAACCAGUCACCUACACCUGGUGGUCAGGUGAUGUGGUGAAGAGUGAAACCAAGCAGCUCAUAAUAACAAAGGACGAUACGGAGCCUUCGUUUACCUGUGAGUUAGCAAACCCAGUCAGCUCUGAACGCAGCAGAGAAGUCACCAACCCUUUCACCUCCUCCACCUCUAACACUGAGAAUAACAGUAACGGUCUCUAUCGGUUAUUCCUGUCACUGGGUCUGGAUCCAGGUCUGGGUCUGGGUCUGGGUCUGGGUCUGGUUCUGGUUCUGGUUCUGGCCAUUGCUGUUGUCGGUUUCUUCAUUUACAGACGCAGAACAGGGAGCUUUCAUUCACUACCAAGAUAUUCACCCAGAGUAGUUGAGACACAAACGUUGCUUCAUGAUAACAACGGUGAAGUCCAACAAUCAUCAUCCACUCUAGACCACAUCAAUGAAACAGACACUAAAUCAAAGACAAAAGAGGAACAAGAGAAUCAAGGAGCUCCUCCUAAUCGACAACAACCUGGUUCUCCUUCUGAUACCAGUGAUGAUCCUGACGGAGGAGGCAAACACGACCAAUGCUGAAGUACUUUGAAGAGAGAAUUUGCAAAAGGACCAAACAGAGAAGACGGUUUGACACUAAAGGACUUGAAGCAUCGACUGGACCUGAGAGGAAAUAUGAGGUUUAUUUUAUUUAAUGUUACUUGACUUUUUAUUAAUGGUUCCUGCAGCUGGUGGCCGUGCUGAAUGAUAUUAAACACUAUGAAUAGUUUGAAAUGUGUACGAUGAUUGUUAAAAGCUGUGUCUGUGUGUAUUUGUGUUAGUUUUUAAAUAUUGUAUCAGAUGCUGGGGCAUGAGUUCCUCAUAUGUCCACCAGAGGGCCCCACUAGACCAGACUUUAUCUGACUAGAGAUGAAGACUCCUCAUUCAUUCAUUCAUUCAUUCAUUCAUUUGCUGUAACUGCUUGUCCUCUGGGGUGUUGUGGUCUGAACCUCCUUUAUCAACCCAAGUAUUUUCAGAGUGUUACAGGUGAAUCCAGUGGUUUUAGCUUCUAUAGGUUUCGGUUUAGGUUUCCCCUCUCCAUGUCCUUCACCAAGACACUGUAACCAAGACCACCAACGUGUCCUUUUUAUCUAUUUUUAUUUAAUAGUUUUUGGCCUUUCUCUCUCUUAUCUUUUAGUUAUUUAUCCCUCUAGUCUUCUCACUCAGUUCUUGUUUUUCUUCAGUGUUUAUUUGUUUUUAAUUGUGCCUCCAUCUUUUUUAAUGUAAAGCACAGUGACUCGUCCUCUGUAUGAAAUGAGCUGUUUAAAUAAAGCUGCCUUGAACUGUC
This is an RNA transcript of Mugil cephalus (flathead mullet), 2015 nucleotides long. It is a transcript of the gene named CD48 antigen-like, with no coding region annotated. NCBI's taxonomy places the organism in Eukaryota, Metazoa, Chordata, Actinopteri, Mugiliformes, Mugilidae. The transcript is spliced from 11 exons. The record is from RefSeq and is a predicted model, not a curated record.